Molecule: long non-coding RNA, 422 nt
Organism: Tachysurus fulvidraco (yellow catfish)
Lineage: Eukaryota; Metazoa; Chordata; Actinopteri; Siluriformes; Bagridae
Exons: 3
Source: RefSeq, a predicted model, not a curated record
GGAGCAUGCACGGUUACCUGGGAUGCGUCACUUGGUUAUUUGCUGCGUCGCUAACGCGCUUCCGUCACUUCCCAGAACUAGAUGCGAGUGCUUGAGACGAGACUGCGAUUUGUUUGGAGAGCACUUCUGCCUUGACCCUACGAGUCGCGCUGCAAUGUCUGCUUAGUAUUGUCACAUAAAUUGGGCAUAGAUAUUGGAGAAGCUGUGAGAACCUGACACAGUGCUGGAUCACUGUUUUGUAUUGGCGUUGAAAGAUUCCAUUGGCUUUCUAUAAAACAUUGACAUCUGCGAUUGGUGUCGUGACGGCCUGUAAUUAUUCCAGUUGGCGUGUUCCGCGUUUGUAUGGCGGCAGUGCUGUCCUGUUUCCAGCGGGUUUUUUAAUCAAGUUUCCAAACGGGGUUUCAAUCCGGUUGCCAGAUUUG